CUGGUGGACCCUGGGCUGCCGAAGGGGAACGUGCGCACUUAACUGCUGCACCACCGGACGGCCUCGACUCAACUUGGGUGAUUUAUAUGUGAAGCUGUUGCUGGCAGCUGUUUGCACCACAUUCUAAGAGCAUUUUGGAGAGGGGUCCUUUGGGCUGCUUUCUCAAAGGAAGAACAGACUGGUUUGGCUGGAACCAGAGAGCACUGGAAACACAGGUUGGGGUCAUAGCAUGGGCAGAUUUAAUACCAGGGCUCUCCGCAGGGUGAGUGGGGCUGUCUGGUUCUGAAAUGGAAUUAUGCGCUACA
Molecule: long non-coding RNA, 305 nt
Filed under: Equus caballus (horse)
Lineage: Eukaryota; Metazoa; Chordata; Mammalia; Perissodactyla; Equidae
Description: lncRNA (ENSECAG00000052285.1)
Source: RNAcentral